AAUGGGCGCAAGCCUGAUCCAGCAAUGCCGCGUGAGUGAAGAAGGCCUUCGGGUUGUAAAGCUCUUUUGUCAGGGAAGAAACGGGCGUGGCUAAUAUCCAUGUCUAAUGACGGUACCUGAAGAAUAAGCACCGGCUAACUACGUGCCAGCAGCCGCGGUAAUACGUAGGGUGCAAGCGUUAAUCGGAAUUACUGGGCGUAAAGCGUGCGCAGGCGGUUUUGUAAGUCUGUCGUGAAAUCCCCGGGCUCAACCUGGGAAUGGCGAUGGAGACUGCAAGGCUAGAAUCUGGCAGAGGGGGGUAGAAUUCCACGUGUAGCAGUGAAAUGCGUAGAGAUGUGGAGGAACACCGAUGGCGAAGGCAGCCCCCUGGGUCAAGAUUGACGCUCAUGCACGAAAGCGUGGGGAGCAAACAGGAUUAGAUACCCUGGUAGUCCACGCCCUAAACGAUGUCUACUAGUUGUCGGGUCUUAAUUGACUUGGUAACGCAGCUAACGCGUGAAGUAGACCGCCUGGGGGAGUA
This 520-nucleotide ribosomal RNA is filed under the name uncultured bacterium. RNAcentral's name for it is "bacterial SSU rRNA". It matches the Rfam family "Bacterial small subunit ribosomal RNA", at positions 370 to 882 of the family's 1533-position model. The record is from RNAcentral.